CCCUGGUUAGCUCAGCUGGUAGAGCGCUCCACUAGAAAUGGAGAGGUGCCUGGUUCGAUACCAAGUCCAGGCG
Non-coding RNA from Ixodes scapularis (black-legged tick), 73 nucleotides. The record is from Rfam. Lineage: Eukaryota; Metazoa; Arthropoda; Arachnida; Ixodida; Ixodidae.